RNAcentral lists this non-coding RNA (24 nucleotides) under Cricetulus griseus (Chinese hamster). The record is from RNAcentral. Lineage: Eukaryota; Metazoa; Chordata; Mammalia; Rodentia; Cricetidae.
UGGAUCCAUGUGGAAAGAGAACUC